Molecule: ribosomal RNA, 282 nt
Filed under: Triticum aestivum (bread wheat)
Lineage: Eukaryota; Viridiplantae; Streptophyta; Magnoliopsida; Poales; Poaceae
Description: partial small subunit ribosomal RNA
Source: RNAcentral
AUGGAAGGCGUGCCAAUGGUGUGCUGGCCCUUUUCUGACCAGCAGAUCAUUAGCCGCUUCGUGGGCGUCGUGUGGAGGACGGGGCUGGACGUGAAGGACGUCUGCGACAGAGGCGUCGUUGAGAGGACGACGAGGGAGGCCAUGGAGUUCGACGAGAUCAGAGGGGUGGCCCAAGCUAUGGUGCAGCAGUUGAGGCUGGAUGUCGCGGAGGUGGGGUCGUCGUCAUCCGAGUUGGAGCGGCUCGUCCGCUUCAUCAGGGAGCUCAGCAUCAGGUCCUGUUGA